AUAGUCGCGUAUAGCAAUGUCGAAAGACUGCGUACGAGGAAAGUCCGGGCUCCAUAGAGCAAUGAUGCAGGAUAACGUCCUGUGAGGGAAACCUUAAGGAAAGUGCAACAGAAAAUAACCGCCUACAAUAGUAGGUAAGGAUGAAAAGGCGAGGUAAGAGCUCACCGCCAGCAUGGUGACAUGCUGGGUCUGUGUAAACCCCAUCUGGAGCAACACCGGGACAAGAAGGCCAAGACUGCUCGUCAUCUUCUUAAUCUGGUGGCUUGAGGCAUAUAGUAAUAUAUGUACUAGAUAAAUGACUAUUCACGACAGAACCCGGCUUACAGAUUUACUUA
Molecule: RNase P RNA, 335 nt
Filed under: human gut metagenome
Description: Bacterial RNase P class A
Rfam family: Bacterial RNase P class A
About the family: Ribonuclease P (RNase P) is a ubiquitous endoribonuclease, found in archaea, bacteria and eukarya as well as chloroplasts and mitochondria. Its best characterised activity is the generation of mature 5'-ends of tRNAs by cleaving the 5'-leader elements of precursor-tRNAs. Cellular RNase Ps are ribonucleoproteins.
Source: RNAcentral